AAAAUCCGUUGACUUUAAAAAUCGUGAGGGUUCAAGUCCCUCUAUCCCCAA
RNAcentral lists this transfer RNA (51 nucleotides) under Pseudotrachydium dichotomum. RNAcentral describes it as "partial tRNA-Leu". The record is from RNAcentral. Lineage: Eukaryota; Viridiplantae; Streptophyta; Magnoliopsida; Apiales; Apiaceae.